RNAcentral lists this ribosomal RNA (465 nucleotides) under uncultured bacterium. RNAcentral describes it as "partial 16S ribosomal RNA". It matches the Rfam family "Bacterial small subunit ribosomal RNA", at positions 28 to 507 of the family's 1533-position model. The record is from RNAcentral.
GACGAACGCUGGCGGCGUGCUUAACACAUGCAAGUCGAACGGAAAGGCCCCAGCUUGCUGGGGUACUCGAGUGGCGAACGGGUGAGUAACACGUGGGUGAUCUGCCCUGCACUCCGGGAUAAGCCUGGGAAACUGGGUCUAAUACCGGAUAGGACCGUGCUUUAGUGUGUGCGGUGGAAAGUUUUUCGGUGCAGGAUGAGCCCGCGGCCUAUCAGCUUGUUGGUGGGGUAAUGGCCUACCAAGGCGGCGACGGGUAGCCGGCCUGAGAGGGUGUACGGCCACAGGGGGACAGAGAGACGGACGAGACUCCGACGGGAGGCAGCGGUGGGGAGUAGUGCACAAUGGGCGCAAGCCUGAUGCAGCGGCGCGGCGUGGGGGAUGACGGCCUUCGGGUAGUAAACCCCGUUCGGCAGGGACGAAGCUUUUGUGACGGUACCUGAAUAAGAAGCAACGGCUAACUACGUG